This 405-nucleotide ribosomal RNA is filed under the name uncultured bacterium. Its description in RNAcentral is "bacterial SSU rRNA". It matches the Rfam family "Bacterial small subunit ribosomal RNA", at positions 370 to 772 of the family's 1533-position model. The record is from RNAcentral.
AAUGGGUGAAAGCCUGAUCCAGCCAUCCCGCGUGAAGGAUGACGGUCCUAUGGAUUGUAAACUUCUUUUGUACAGGGAUAAACCUACCCUCGUGAGGGUAGCUGAAGGUACUGUACGAAUAAGCACCGGCUAACUCCGUGCCAGCAGCCGCGGUAAUACGGAGGGUGCAAGCGUUAUCCGGAUUUAUUGGGUUUAAAGGGUCCGUAGGCGGACCUGUAAGUCAGUGGUGAAAUCUCAUAGCUUAACUAUGAAACUGCCAUUGAUACUGCAGGUCUUGAGUAAAUUUGAAGUGGCUGGAAUAAGUAGUGUAGCGGUGAAAUGCAUAGAUAUUACUUAGAACACCAAUUGCGAAGGCAGGUCACUAAGAUUUAACUGACGCUGAUGGACGAAAGCGUGGGUAGCGAA